This 305-nucleotide ribosomal RNA is filed under the name uncultured bacterium. RNAcentral describes it as "bacterial SSU rRNA". It matches the Rfam family "Bacterial small subunit ribosomal RNA", at positions 334 to 637 of the family's 1533-position model. The record is from RNAcentral.
AGGGCCUACGGGGGGCAGCAGUAGGAAAUUUUCGUCAAUGGGCGCAAGCCUGAACGAGCAAUGCCGCGUGAGGGAUGAAGGUACAGAGUAUCGUAAACCUCUUUUGUCAGGGAACAAAGGCGGGGACGCGUCCCCGGAUGAGUGUACCUGAAGAAAAAGCAUCGGCUAACUCCGUGCCAGCAGCCGCGGUAAUACGGAGGAUGCGAGCGUUAUCCGGAUUUAUUGGGUUUAAAGGGUGCGCAGGCGGUCUGUUAAGUCCGCGGUCAAAGCCCGGGGCUCAACCCCGGCCCGCCGUUGACACUGGC